RNAcentral lists this ribosomal RNA (462 nucleotides) under uncultured bacterium. RNAcentral's name for it is "bacterial SSU rRNA". It matches the Rfam family "Bacterial small subunit ribosomal RNA", at positions 335 to 788 of the family's 1533-position model. The record is from RNAcentral.
ACUCCUACGGGAGGCAGCAGUGGGGAAUAUUGGACAAUGGGCGCAAGCCUGAUCCAGCCAUGCCGCGUGUGUGAAGAAGGCCUUUUGGUUGUAAAGCACUUUAAGCGAGGAGGAGACUACCCUGACUAAUAAUUGGGAGUAGUGGACGUUACUCGCAGAAUAAGCACCGGCUAACUCUGUGCCAGCAGCCGCGGUAAUACAGAGGGUGCAAGCGUUAAUCGGAUUUACUGGGCGUAAAGCGUGCGUAGGUGGCCAAUUAAGUCAAAUGUGAAAUCCCCGAGCUUAACUUGGGAAUUGCAUUCGAUACUGGUUGGCUAGAGUAUGGGAGAGGAUGGUAGAAUUCCAGGUGUAGCGGUGAAAUGCGUAGAGAUCUGGAGGAAUACCGAUGGCGAAGGCAGCCAUCUGGCCUAAUACUGACACUGAGGUACGAAAGCAUGGGGAGCAAACAGGAUUAGAUACCCU